AUGUUCUUCUCCACAAAGAUGUGUGUUGCUACCAUCAUGGUGCUGGCCCUGACGCUCUCGCUUCAGGGCACCGUUGCCGCCGGCCGCCUCUUUCCCAACUCCGGGUGGGACGGUUGUCCACCCGGCACGUCACGGAAAUGCACUGGUCCGCCUCGCCAUUGCCCGUGUCUACCAAAUCUUCGACUUUUGGAUCGCCAAGACAUGAUGGCGAUGCCCAAGAAGAACAGCCUCGUGCUGUCCCAGCUAUCGUGCCCGGAACACCAAGUGUGGGUGUGCGAGGGGGGGAGAUGCUCCUGCGAGUACUAG
RNAcentral lists this ribosomal RNA (306 nucleotides) under Triticum aestivum (bread wheat). RNAcentral's name for it is "partial small subunit ribosomal RNA". Lineage: Eukaryota; Viridiplantae; Streptophyta; Magnoliopsida; Poales; Poaceae. The record is from RNAcentral.